Molecule: ribosomal RNA, 496 nt
Filed under: uncultured bacterium
Lineage: Bacteria
Description: partial 16S ribosomal RNA
Rfam family: Bacterial small subunit ribosomal RNA
Source: RNAcentral
GAUGAACGCUGGCGGCGUGCCUAAUACAUGCAAGUCGAGCGAACAGACGAGGAGCUUGCUCCUCUGACGUUAGCGGCGGACGGGUGAGUAACACGUGGAUAACCUACCUAUAAGACUGGGAUAAUUUCGGGAAACCGGAUCUUAUACCGGAUAAUAUAUUGAACCGCAUGGUUCAAUAGUGAAAGACGGUUUUGCUGUCACUUAUAGAUGGAUUCGCGCCUCAUGAGCUAGUUGGUAAGGUAACGGCUUACCAAGGCGUCGAUGCGUAGCCGAGCUGAGAGGGGGAACGGCCACCGAGGAGGUGACGCGCGACACAGACUCUGAAGGGAGGCAGAAGCAGGGACUCGUGCGAACAGGGGGAAAGCCUGCAGGAGGAGCGCCGCGUGGGUGAUGAAGGUCUGCGUAUGGUAAAACUGUGUUAUGAGGGAAGAACAAAUGUGUAAGUAACUAUGCACGUCUUGAGGGUACCUAAACAGAAAGCCACGGCAAACUAGGG